Nerophis lumbriciformis (worm pipefish) is the source of this 338-nucleotide long non-coding RNA. RefSeq lists it as uncharacterized. The record is from RefSeq and is a predicted model, not a curated record. Lineage: Eukaryota; Metazoa; Chordata; Actinopteri; Syngnathiformes; Syngnathidae.
GGAGUUGAGGAAGAAGGAAUGGACGGCCAUCAUCCCCAACUCUCAGCUCAUUGUCAUCCCUUACCCACACAAUCAACCCAGCAGUUGGACCGCCAAACUGUACCUGACGCCCAGUAACAGCGUGCUGCUGACCGCCAUCGCCCUCAUCGGGGUGUGCGUCUUCAUCCUCGUCAUCAUCGGCAUCCUCCACUGGCAAGAGAAGAAAGCAGACGACCGCGAGAAGAGACAAGAAGCUCACCGCUUCCAUUUUGACGCCAUGUGACCCAGCAGUGUUGCAUCAUGGGAGAUUGUCCCCCUUAACUUAGCUCUUCUACUGCUGUGGCCCCUUUCUCCUCGCC